AGUGAACGCUGGCGGUAGGCCUAACACAUGCAAGUCGAACGGCAGCACAGUAAGAGCUUGCUCUUACGGGUGGCGAGUGGCGGACGGGUGAGGAAUACAUCGGAAUCUACUUUUUCGUGGGGGAUAACGUAGGGAAACUUACGCUAAUACCGCAUACGACCUACGGGUGAAAGCAGGGGAUCUUCGGACCUUGCGCGAUUGAAUGAGCCGAUGUCGGAUUAGCUAGUUGGCGGGGUAAAGGCCCACCCAGGCGACGAUCCGUAGCUGGUCUGAGAGGAUGAUCGGCCACACUGGACAGGAGACACGGUCCAGACACCUACGGGAGGCAGCAGGGGGGAAGAUAGGACAAUGGGCGCAAGCCUGAUACAGCCAUACCGCGGGGGUGAAGAAGGCCUGCGGGUUGUAAAGCCCUUUUGUUGGGAAAGAAAAGCAGCAGGUUAAUACCCCGCUGUUCGGACGGUACCCAAAGAAUAAGCACCGGCUAACUUCGU
RNAcentral lists this ribosomal RNA (491 nucleotides) under uncultured bacterium. RNAcentral describes it as "partial 16S ribosomal RNA". It matches the Rfam family "Bacterial small subunit ribosomal RNA", at positions 29 to 506 of the family's 1533-position model. The record is from RNAcentral.